This 893-nucleotide long non-coding RNA is filed under the name Ananas comosus (pineapple). RNAcentral's name for it is "long non-coding RNA (ACOM_LNC027676)". Lineage: Eukaryota; Viridiplantae; Streptophyta; Magnoliopsida; Poales; Bromeliaceae. The record is from RNAcentral.
GAGCCUGUUAAAGAUAAUGCUAAUGAGAUUAGGAUUAGAUUAUUUAAUGUUAUCUAUUAUUAUAUUCGGUUAUGGUUAAGAUAUAUUCGGUUAUUAUUUAGAUUAUGAUUAAGAUAAAAUAGAAUCAGAGUAGGAUUCUAUGUAAUUAGUUAUAAAUAGAUAGGCCGGGAUUAUUUGGUUAAUGAAGCCGGGGAAUCGUCAUAAUUAAUUAGUGUUCGCCGAAGGUGAUAUACGGUGAUGAGUUAUUUUAUUCAAUAAAGUUAUUUUGUUUUGCUUCCAUGACAACGUACCAGAUUCUUUGAUUUGUCUUCUUCCUCUCUUGUCUUUUUCUAUUUUACUUUUUGUGGAGAUCUCUAUAUACCAUAACAAGUAUAUAGAACGUAUUUGUUGGUGGCCCAUCACCGUAACAGAGCCGCCGGCAGCCAUCUGUAAUAAUGACCCGUGCGUGCUGAGGCGAGUAUGGCGGUGAGGAUGACAGCAGCCUGCACUGGGCCGCGUCUCUCGGCUCGGAUGAGAAGAUACUGUAAUGCCCUGAUUCACCGCAACCACCUAAUGAUGAGAUUGCUCUGAAGGGAGGAUGGCAGUGAGGAUUGUGGAUGAAUCGGAUCAGAUCUGGGGAUAAUUCGGUGGGGAAAUAGUAGAAGAAUUAGAGAGAAGAGAGGUGAGGAAGAGAUGGGUCUGAGGAAGAAGAAGAAGGAAGAAGAUAGAAUUAGAAGGAAGAGAAAUUACCAAGUCAUUCCAUAAACUUCUCAAUCGCUACAUCUCCUACUUACUAUCCCCCAAUCAAACGCCAACUAGAAAAAAUUUUACAGUUAAAAAAAAUUUAUUGUUUAAAAAUAUAAUACCAUUUUUUGUUGCUGUGAAGAAAAAAAUCUACUAUUUUAAAAAAAUUU